AAACCGAUGAAUCACAAGAGAGCAAAAUAAGCAUGUUUAGAGUCAUCAAUAUGAAUACCAAAAGAAUCCUCUUUAAAAAGGAGUAUCAGUGAGAUUUGGGUGAGAAGAAGACGAAGGAAAGUGUUACUUGAUACAUUAUAAGCCUGUUAGUGCUCCUUGGAUUUUUAAAAAGUAUAUGCAUGCAUUAUUUUGAUUACAAUGAUUAUUAUUUCUGUUACCCAGCCUUCAAGGUCCUGCCACCUAAGCUCUCUUCCUGGAAACUUGUCUUCCUGCUCUAGCCUUCAAGCCUCUCCCUAGAAGAGCCACAGCACUGCCACAGAGGCUCCACACAAGACAGUCCUUAAUUGUGACAAAUCGCCUCUACAGAUCCAGGACAGAGGAGAAAAGACAUCCCCCCACCCCCAUCCUACCCUCACCCAGAGACACUGCCUUGUCCAAAGGCCCUCUGUUCCCAUGGAAUAUGUUGAUGGCAGUGUCACCCUAGCCUAUCCAUGUUUUAAAGCUGAAAUCAAACUGGUCACCCAAUUCCCCUGUUUUUCAAACAGACACAAAGAGUCCAGCUGAGCCAUUGUUAGGGCCUUCCCUGGCCUGAAGAACCAUAUCCCAACGGGGGCUGGAUGACUCCCUCUCCAAAAUGGAGUCCAGGAUUCCCCCAGCUCCAGGACAGGCAUGUUUUCCCACAGCCCCUAGUCACAGAUCAUGUCUCACCCUUCAAAAGGCUCAUCUGCUGAUGCAUGGGAGAAAUAUGUCCAGCCAGCAGUAUAGGAAGUCUUUCAUUCCAGGCCCUAGCCUCUGCUGGCAAGAGCAAAUUUGCAGCUGGCCAGUGGCGGAUAAAAACAAAGUUAGGGUAGGACACAGAUUCUAGCCAUCCCAUCUGGUCCUCUGUGCUGUACCAUGACCUCAGCGGAGCAGCCAGGGACAGAUGGGGCUCUCUCGCGUGUCACAACCCAACAUCCUGAUCCUCUCUGUCCCCUUUCGCAAUGAUAAAGUGCGUGGUUUGUGGAAGAUUAAUGACCAACCGAUGACUGCUGAAUCGAUAAGACUAUUCCCACAGGAUAAAAGAGGUGCCAGGGGAUGGCAUUUAAGUCACACUUUAAGAGAAGUGGCAGUGGGGCUUGGGGGUCAGGGGUUGGCAGCUGACAGUCUUACAGUGAAGGUACAGGAAUCACUGUGUAUACUUAUAGAUACUGACAGUGUGUGUCACCCGCCUGGAUGUUGAAGAGGUAAAUAGGAGAUUGAAAUUGGGAACUACCAGAUUAGACACAACCCAUAUUUGCUGUGAAAAUGCCACUUUUCCUUUUUCAAAGGUGCUCAGAAAUGGCUUCCCCACUCAUGUGCCCAGGAUCCCUUGACCCCAAGACACACACCCAACACGGGGUCCAGGCUCACCUCUCUGUGCCCUCCUGGAUACCAAACAUCCAGGAGAAAGAGGAAAAUAUCCAAGGUUAAGAUCAAAGAGGAACAGGCAAAGCAGAGAAUUCGUUCUCUAAAAGCAGAGGGGUCAGUGAGGGAGACAACAGAACCUGCUAAGGGCUGAGCAUCCCUAAUCCAGAAACCUGAACUCCAAAAUGCUCCAAAAUCUGAAACUGUUAGAGCGUUGCCAUGAGAGAGUGAUGCCUUUGCUUUCUGAUGGUUCAAUGUACACAAACUUGGCUUCAUGGACAAAAUUAUUGAAAAUAAUUGUACAAAAUUACCUUCAGGCUACGUGCAUAAGGUGUAUAUGAAACCAAUGAAUUUUGUGUUUAGACUUGGGUCCCAUCCCCAAGAUGUCUCAGUAUGUAUACACAAAUAUUCUAAAAUCUGAAAAAAAUACAAAAUCCAAAACACUUCUGGUCUCAAGUACUUUCCAUAAGGGACACACAACCUGUAACAGGUUUACUAAUCAAAGCAUCAACCUCUCCCCCAUCUCUUAUUGCAUCUAAAGAGGACACUCCACCUCAGCCACAGUAAGAAGCAUAAAACUGUCAGGCUCCACCAAAGUCAUUUCCAAGAACAAAUGCGUUUGUGAUGUCAGGAUUAGAGUGACUGCAAUUCUGGAUACACAUUUAAUUUGCAUUACUGCUUUUCUUUGGGGGGUGAGGAGGUAUUCACAAAGAAAGUUCAUUCCUCCCUGAAGGCUAUUUCAAAGACAGUUGCUAAUUAAACCCUGAUGUAGCAUGAGGAAAAUGAAAAUGCCAGACCCUAAACAAGAGUAAAAACUAGGAAAACAAAAAAACAAACAAACAAAAAACACCAGGUCUCCAGUUUCUCAAACGUUAAAAGGCUUCAAAAAGGGGACACUACCAGACGCACACAAAGGAAAGGUUACAAAUAGCUGCAGCAGCCAGAAGGGGGAUGAAACCUAGAGAUUAUCAGCUUUUUUUUUUUUUUUUUUUUGCUACAUUCAUGUCUGUUUUCAGGAGGCUCCUGACUUUCCUGUGAAACAAAAAUAUCUGGGUGUGGGGAGAGCUUUGGACAUCAGAGAGACCCCGGAGAAGUCACUGCGGCCCAUCCUGGUGCCCAUUCAUUUGAGGCUGAGGCUGGAAACACGGAGACCUUCCCCGUUUCCUAGGUCUGGGCCUGACGCACAGGAAACUUCUCUCUUGAUUAGACGCCCACUGAGCCCAAGGUUUAACUUUCCAUCUUCCAUUCCAACACACACGCCCUGCCACUCUACCGAGAGCCCAGUCACGGGGGCUUUUCCAACAAACUCGUCCACCCAUGACCAUUGUAGGCAACCUCCAAGACUCCGUUCACAGUGAACCUUGCCUUUUUCUGCAAACCCAGAAACUAGCCUUUAAAUUGCUCAGGGAAUAUUCUCCAAACAGCAGAUUCAUCCUUAUUCAGGGUUUUGGCAGUCAAAACUCAGGGGUCAAUUAAGCCACGCCAAGCCCUCGUGCCUUAAUCUAUUUCCUGAGCAUUUCCCUGCCAUGGCUGGGGAGGGUAGAGGAUGGUGUCAGCCCCAUCUAGAAUCACGCUGGCCUGACACAGACCUCCCUUGCUGAGGUUUUCCUCUAGUCCAGCAUAAAGGGGUUUUCGACCCUCUCUCUUGCAAGCAUCGAAAUAAAAUUAUUCAGACACUCUCUAGCUACUUCAGAUGAAUUGGUCACAGUCACGUGACACAUCUGGAUAUUUCCUUUCAAAACAGACUUCGCAAGUGAAAUGGGAUCCAGAUGUUUUGAGCAGAGGUACAUCCAGUCCCCUUCCUAGGUGGUACCCACAUAAUGAAGACUCAACAUAAUUUGACUUUUGUGUAUACUUCUUAUUUCCCCGACUAGAAUGUAAGCUCUUUCAAGACCCCACAUGAAACUUGCCCGUGGCCCUUAGCACACUGUUGGCCCACAGUUGGUCCUUAAAAGCUGCUCUAAUUAAAGAAGCAAUAAAUAACACAGACAGUUCAAGUGUAUCAAACACAAGCCAAAGUCAAGAACAAAAUGUUUCCUGAACAAGGCUAUACAGAUGGAUUUAGAUUUGGAAAAAUCUUGAUCCUCUUGUUAAUUAAGACUACUCAUAAAGCAAACAACCAGAUUUAAAAAAAAAUAGCUAGCUAUUUUGACCUGAAUAGUUCUUUACAUGGAAGCUGUCUUUUUUUUUUUUUUUUGAGACGGAGUCUCGCUCUGUCACCCAGGCUGGAAAACAGUGGCAUAAUCUCGGCUCACUGCAAACUCUGCCUCCCAGGUUCACGUCAUUCUCCUGCCUCAGCCUCCAGAGUAGCUGGAACUACAGGUGCCCGCCACCAUGCCUGGCUAAUUUUUUUGUAUUUUCAGUAUAGACAGGGAUUCACCGUGUUAGCCAAUAUGGUGUCGAUCUCCUGACCUUGUGAUCUGCCCAUCUCGGCCUCCCAAAGUGCUGGGAUUACAGGCAUGAGCCACCGUGCCCGGCGGAAGCUGUAUUUCUAAAAAAUCUGCAUGAUAAACUACGUAGAUAGCAUUUAUUAAUUAAUUAAUUUAUUUAGAGAUAGGCUCUUGCUCUGUUGCCUAGGCUGGAGUGCAGCAGCAUGAUAGUAGCUCACUGUAGCCUUGACCUCCUGGGCUCAAGCGAUCCUCCCGCCUCAGCCUCCAGAGUAGCUGGGACUACAGGUAUGCACCACUGCACCAGACUAAUUUUUUAAUGUUUUUGCAGAGAUGUGGUCUCUCUAUGUUGCCUAGGCUGCUCUCAAACUCCUGGGCUCAAGUGAUCCUUCCGCCUCAGCCUCCCAAAGUGUUGGGAUUACAAGCAUGAGCCACUGUGCCUGGCCACAGACAGCAUUUUAUAUUUCAGAAAUCGUAAACCUUCUUUAAGACGCAAGUCAAAUGCUUGCCCAUAUUUUAUUGAGCACUUACUAGGUGUGUGCCAGGCCCUGUGUGGAAAGCUUUCUAGGCACUCAAACAGUUUAUCUAUACAAUGCUGUGGGAGGUUCUAAUACCAUCCCCAGUGCAUGGGUGAUAAAACUGGCGUAGUUGUUCCCUGGGGCCUUCCUGACCUCUCCAAUAGAUAGUACUCACUUCCUCUCCUGAAACUCUAUUUGGCACUUUCUGUGCUUCUCUUAUGAGACACAGCAAUUCUCCCAUGUGCACAAAAUAAUGGAGACACCAUCCUGUCCCCUCUGCUGUACUGUAAGUUCCUUAAAGACAGGGAUAUCUGAUUCCAAUGGUACUCUGCAAAGCAGGCUAUCCAGGUGCUGUUGACAGAAGGAGGUUUGAGGACCACUGUCUUAUUAAAGCAGCCCAUUGCUGGUAAUGAACCAAGCCUAUGAAAUGAAUGGGUGGCUUAUCAAUAACCAUUAUUAUUAGAUGUCAUUUGAGUACAGAUAAUUGUGUUUCCAGUAGACAAAGAACUACCCCAACCUCAGCUCUGCCAGUCUCUCAACCUGUCUCCCACCUCUCCCUCCUCCCUUCCCCCUCCCCUCAUUCAGCUCCAGGAACAUUGGCACUUUCCACUGCUCCUUAACUGUGCCACAUCUUCUGCCUAGAAUGUUCUUACUUUAGAUUUGCAUGGCUCAGUCCCUCUUUUUUGUUUUGGAGACAGUCUUGAUCUGUCGCCUAGGCUGGAGUGCAGUGGUGCCACCUCAGCUCACUGCAACCUCUGCCUCCCAGGCUCAAGCAAUUCUCAUGCCUCAGCCUCCCAAGUAGCUGGGAUUACAGGCAUGUGUCACCACACUUGGCUAAUUUUUGUAUUUUUCAGUAGAGAUGGGGUUUCUCCAUGUUGGGCAGGCUUGUCUUGAACUCUUGGCCUCAACUGAUCCAUCCACCUUGGCCUCCCAAAAUGCUGGGAUGACAGGUGUGAGCCACAGCGCCCGGUCCCAAUCCCUCUUUUAUUCACAUCUUUUCCCACAUAUCCCCUCCACAGAGCCGUUAUCUGACCAUCCCAACUCGACAACAGCACCUCACCCCAUCACUGUCUAUGGCAUCACUGUGCUUCAUCAAUAUUUUCAAAGCCCUGAUCACUGACAUCAUGCUAUACAUACUGUGCAUUUGCUGUCUGUUUCUUCCCGCUUAGAAUGCACACAUCAAGAGGUUAUAGAGGGCCAGAUGCAGUGUCUCAUGCCUGUAAUCUCAGCACUUUGGGAGCCCAAGGCAGGAGGAUCGCUUGAGGCCAAGAGUUCAAGACUAGCCUGGACAAAAUAGCAAGGCCCCAUCUCUACUCGAUAGAUAGAUAGAUAGAUAGAUAGAUAGAU
This 5635-nucleotide long non-coding RNA is filed under the name Homo sapiens (human). RNAcentral describes it as "HSALNT0134364". The record is from RNAcentral. Lineage: Eukaryota; Metazoa; Chordata; Mammalia; Primates; Hominidae.